Non-coding RNA from Acanthosepion pharaonis, 75 nucleotides. Lineage: Eukaryota; Metazoa; Mollusca; Cephalopoda; Sepiida; Sepiidae. The record is from the annotation of a GenBank genome assembly.
CGUUGGAACACCAGUUCCCGUACGAUCACCGAAGUUAAGCAAAGUCGAGCCUGGUCAGUACAUAGAUGGGUGACU